This 253-nucleotide ribosomal RNA is filed under the name uncultured bacterium. Its description in RNAcentral is "partial 16S ribosomal RNA". It matches the Rfam family "Bacterial small subunit ribosomal RNA", at positions 524 to 776 of the family's 1533-position model. The record is from RNAcentral.
UACGGAAGGGGCAAGCGUUAUUCGGAAUUAUUGGGCGUAAAGGGCGCGUAGGCGGCUUGGCAAGUGGAAGGUGAAAUCCCUCGGCUUAACCGAGGAACUGCCCUCCAAACUGCUUCGCUUGAGACCGGGAGAGGUGAGUGGAAUUCCCAGUGUAGCGGUGAAAUGCGUAGAUAUUGGGAGGAACACCAGUGGCGAAGGCGGCUCACUGGACCGGUACUGACGCUGAUGCGCGAAAGCGUGGGGAGCAAACAGG